AAGCUGUUUCUUCUUUCUGCUUCUCGUGGGUGAAGUCAUCUAAGGGUUUUGAGGCUUCUUCUUUCCCGCCCCACCCGCACCAAAACCCAGAACGAUCUGGUCUGAAAAUCCACAUACACCAAUCCGCAAAUCUCCAAUCGUUAAAGAAAAAAUUCAUAAAGAUUUUUCAUGGCGUCAAAGUUAGUUCAAUUGCAGUCAAAGGCUGCUGAAGCUUCACGGUUUGUGGCCAAGCAUGGAUGUGCCUACUACAAGUAAUUAAUGGAAAAGAACAAGCAGUACGUCGUUUGCUAUCUUUGUGCACUUCUAUUGCAUAUUGAUGUUUUGAGUAUACAGUGCUUAAUCUUGUACAAAUUCUACUUUAUUGUGAGAGUGUUUUUCUUAUACGAACAAAUUUAUAUUGC
This is a long non-coding RNA of Malania oleifera, 401 nucleotides long. RefSeq lists it as uncharacterized. The transcript is spliced from 2 exons. Lineage: Eukaryota; Viridiplantae; Streptophyta; Magnoliopsida; Santalales; Ximeniaceae. The record is from RefSeq and is a predicted model, not a curated record.